CAUACCUAUUCGAAGGGAUAGGGUCGGUUCGGCCGGGUUUCACACAGGUGUUGCAUGGCUGUCGUCAGCUCGUGUCGUGAGAUGUUGGGUUAAGUCCCGCAACGAGCGCAACCCUCAUCCUUAGUUACCAUCAGGUAAUGCUGGGGACUUUGAGGAAACUGCCAGUGAUAAACUGGAGGAAGGUGGGGAUGAUGUCAAGUCAUCAUGGCCCUUAUGGAGUGGGCUACACACGUGCUACAAUAGUGGCUACAAUGGGCUGCAAAGUCGCGAGGCUAAGCCAAUCCCUUAAAAGCCAUCUCAGUUCGGAUUGUACUCUGCAACUCGAGUGCAUGAAGUUGGAAUCGCUAGUAAUCGUGGAUCAGCACGCCACGGUGAAUACGUUCUCGGGUCUUGUACACACUGCCCGUCACGCCAUGGGAAUUGGUUUCACUCGAAGCU
RNAcentral lists this ribosomal RNA (438 nucleotides) under Wolbachia pipientis. RNAcentral's name for it is "bacterial SSU rRNA". It matches the Rfam family "Bacterial small subunit ribosomal RNA", at positions 993 to 1428 of the family's 1533-position model. The record is from RNAcentral. Lineage: Bacteria; Pseudomonadati; Pseudomonadota; Alphaproteobacteria; Rickettsiales; Anaplasmataceae.